UUAUCUUAGUGGAAUAUUAUCUCAGUUGGAUAUUAUUACAGUUGGGUGUUGAAUUGCUGUUGAAAUUUGUAAAUUGUGGACUGAUUGUGUUGUAAUUGUGUUGGAUUUAUUUGGUUUUGGUUGAAGUUAUAAUCAAUCAUUACAUCUUGUUGGUCGAAUUUGAACCAAGUGUAACAACAAAAAGAAAGAUUUUUGAAGAAUGAUAGAGGAAAAAAGUUAAACGAUCAUCUGAGGAUUUCAAUUUCACAGUUAGAAUUGAGAUUUUUGGGGAGAGAUUUUUGAAUUUUGCAAGAGGACGAUGGAGAGUAGGGUUAGAUGAGAAAUAGUUAGAUGAAUAAAAAUAACAGUGUAAAAAAAAAAAAGAUGAACAAUACAAUUAUU
Molecule: long non-coding RNA, 381 nt
Filed under: Olea europaea (common olive)
Lineage: Eukaryota; Viridiplantae; Streptophyta; Magnoliopsida; Lamiales; Oleaceae
Description: long non-coding RNA (OEUR_LNC012259)
Source: RNAcentral